UUAAAGGCUAUGAGUAAGGAAUAGUACUCGACACUGUAAUCUUUUCAGAGAGACUGUGGAUGCUGGGAACAGUCAGGAUCAGUGGGAGGAAAUGGGCCUUAGGAGCUUCUAUCGACGCACGAUCGGCGUUAACGAUCUUAAAGUUGACUUUUACGUUUAAAAGUAAUCAGGGUGGCACCGCGGAUCAUUCGUCCCUUCC
This 199-nucleotide non-coding RNA is filed under the name Halobacillus halophilus. Its description in RNAcentral is "T-box sequence". It matches the Rfam family "T-box leader". From Rfam's summary of the family: Uncharged tRNA acts as the effector for transcription antitermination of genes in the T-box leader family. T-boxes are found upstream of many aminoacyl-tRNA synthetase genes and some amino acid biosynthetic genes usually in Gram-positive bacteria. The anticodon of a specific tRNA base pairs to a specifier sequence within the T-box motif, and the NCCA acceptor tail of the tRNA base pairs to a conserved bulge in the T-box antiterminator hairpin. The record is from RNAcentral. Lineage: Bacteria; Bacillati; Bacillota; Bacilli; Caryophanales; Bacillaceae.